This 464-nucleotide ribosomal RNA is filed under the name uncultured bacterium. RNAcentral describes it as "bacterial SSU rRNA". It matches the Rfam family "Bacterial small subunit ribosomal RNA", at positions 355 to 825 of the family's 1533-position model. The record is from RNAcentral.
UAAGGAAUAUUGCGCAAUGGGCGAAAGCCUGACGCAGCGACGCCGCGUGGGGGAUGAAGGUCUUCGGAUUGUAAACCCCUUUCGGGAGGGAAGAUGGAAUGGGGUAACCCAUUCUGACGGUACCUCCAGAAGCAGCCACGGCUAACUUCGUGCCAGCAGCCGCGGUAAUACGAAGGUGGCAAGCGUUAUUCGGAUUUACUGGGCGUACAGGGAGCGUAGGCGGUUCGGUAAGCCCUUUGUGAAAUCUCCAGGCUUAACCUGGAAAAGUCGGAGGGGACUGCCGGGCUAGAGGACGGGAGAGGAGCGCGGAAUUCCCGGUGUAGCGGUGAAAUGCGUAGAGAUCGGGAGGAAGGCCGGUGGCGAAGGCGGCGCUCUGGAACGUUUCUGACGCUGAGGCUCGAAAGCGUGGGGAGCAAACAGGAUUAGAUACCCAAGUAGUCCCUGAGCGGGCUGGCAAGGCGCAU